UUAUUUUCUAGGUUGACCUCGGAUCAGGUAGGGAUACCCGCUGAACUUAAGCAUAUCAAUAAGCGGAGGA
This 70-nucleotide ribosomal RNA is filed under the name Dothidea sp. CanS-64. Its description in RNAcentral is "partial 28S ribosomal RNA". The stretch from base 14 to 70 matches the Rfam family "Eukaryotic large subunit ribosomal RNA", at positions 1 to 57 of the family's 3401-position model. The record is from RNAcentral. Lineage: Eukaryota; Fungi; Ascomycota; Dothideomycetes; Dothideales; Dothideaceae.